UACAAAGACUGCAAGCGUUAUUCGGAUUCACUGGGCGUAAAGGGUGCGCAGGCGGCCAAGUGUGUGAGGCGUGAAAGCCCGGGGCUUAACCCCGGAAUUGCACCUCAAACUACAUGGCUAGAGCAUUGGAGAGGGUAGCGGAAUUCACGGUGUAGCAGUGAAAUGCGUAGAUAUCGUGAGGAACACCAGAGGCGAAGGCGGCUACCUGGACAAUUGCUGACGCUCAGGCACGAAAGCGUGGGGAGCAAAAGGG
This 253-nucleotide ribosomal RNA is filed under the name uncultured bacterium. Its description in RNAcentral is "partial 16S ribosomal RNA". It matches the Rfam family "Bacterial small subunit ribosomal RNA", at positions 524 to 776 of the family's 1533-position model. The record is from RNAcentral.